This 85-nucleotide non-coding RNA is filed under the name Pseudomonas kilonensis. The record is from RNAcentral. RNAcentral also lists the same sequence under 1 other name. Lineage: Bacteria; Pseudomonadati; Pseudomonadota; Gammaproteobacteria; Pseudomonadales; Pseudomonadaceae.
GUGGGAGCAAAGCUUGCUCGCGACGCAGGCGCCUCGGUUUCCAAAAGACCGCGUCGUAUUCAUCGCGAGCAAGCUUUGCUCCCAC